GCUGCUCAAGACUUCACACACCUCUCCGUGGUGAGCAGUAGGCAACGAUCUAGGAUCGGCUGAGAUGUGAAG
This 72-nucleotide ribozyme is filed under the name unclassified sequences. RNAcentral's name for it is "HDV ribozyme from F. prausnitzii". It matches the Rfam family "HDV ribozyme from F. prausnitzii". The record is from RNAcentral.